Molecule: ribosomal RNA, 465 nt
Filed under: uncultured Enterobacter sp.
Lineage: Bacteria; Pseudomonadati; Pseudomonadota; Gammaproteobacteria; Enterobacterales; Enterobacteriaceae
Description: bacterial SSU rRNA
Rfam family: Bacterial small subunit ribosomal RNA
Source: RNAcentral
CCUACGGGAGGCAGCAGUGGGGAAUAUUGCACAAUGGGCGCAAGCCUGAUGCAGCCAUGCCGCGUGUAUGAAGAAGGCCUUCGGGUUGUAAAGUACUUUCAGCGGGGAGGAAGGCGAUAAGGUUAAUAACCUUGUCGAUUGACGUUACCCGCAGAAGAAGCACCGGCUAACUCCGUGCCAGCAGCCGCGGUAAUACGGAGGGUGCAAGCGUUAAUCGGAAUUACUGGGCGUAAAGCGCACGCAGGCGGUCUGUCAAGUCGGAUGUGAAAUCCCCGGGCUCAACCUGGGAACUGCAUUCGAAACUGGCAGGCUGGAGUCUUGUAGAGGGGGGUAGAAUUCCAGGUGUAGCGGUGAAAUGCGUAGAGAUCUGGAGGAAUACCGGUGGCGAAGGCGGCCCCCUGGACAAAGACUGACGCUCAGGUGCGAAAGCGUGGGGAGCAAACAGGAUUAGAUACCCCGGUAGUC